CAGACACCUUGAGUUGAGAUGACACAAAAUGACCCUAAAGGGAAUUUCAAAAGCAAUGAGUGUUUUCAAACUUUGACUGAAACUAAGCAUAUCUGUAGCAUUGCCAUUUUCACAAGUGUUAUUCCAUUUGUUUGUCAAUAUGUCUCUGUUUUAACUUAUUUAAUGCAUAAUGCAUGAGUCAAAAUGCCGAGAAACCUGAAAUGCAUGUUGUAAUUGCUGUGUUAUUGCAUUUUCAAAACAUUUUUACAACAUUGACUGGUUUGCCCAUAUUUGUUGCACUAAUCUGAAUAACGUGAAGGUCAGCAUGAAAUACCAUCCAAAACCCAUUUAACUUCUGAUGCAUUUUUAGGGAAACAAGGAAUUCAAGAAACGUUUGUAUAUUUGUUUAUAAUCGGAUUAAUGGCACAGUUGGACUGAAAAGAGUUCAUGUAAACACCUCAAUUGAUCUGAUUGAGCUUGAUCUGAAUGGAAUAAUAGACAUGAAAUAAUCCGACUAACAGGAAAAAAAUAGGCUUGUAAAUGCUUGAAUUCAACUAUAUGCUCAAUCUGAGUAAAAAAUACCUUUUUGCACAUGCACAAUGAUAGGCCUACAUGAAAUGCACAUGUAAAUGAAUAUGUAAAUCCUAUUGCAACAUUUAUGGUUCAUGUAAACAGAAUUUUCAGAAUCUGAAAUCAGAUUGGAUUCGUUCUGACUGAUGAAAAUCAGUGCAUGUAAACACACCAAAUGAGAAAAAAAAAAUGUCAUGCAACUUGAUUUGAUCAGUUUUUAUUGAUUUGAUCAUAAAAAGAGGAAAGUAAAAGAAUAGCAUGCAGUAAUGAAUCACUUACAGUAAGAAAGUUUAUGAGGCUCAUUUUGAUUUCAUGCUGACUUUCAUAAAACAUUUUAACAAUAACUUUGAAAGGUUCGGUCUUAUUUCAUUGUGCAGCUCUAAAUAAACAAUGACAGACCUGGAAGGCAUGUCUGUAAAAACACGUCUUAAGCAUAGUGUUGGAAAUUUCCACGCUCGUGAAUUAUAUAUUUGCAUACCAGACAAAAGACUCUCAUGUUCCUUGGAGUCGGUGUGAAAGGCUUCAUGGGGAUUUUACAGUCUGCAGCUAUGAGGAAGUGUAUUAGGUGCUGCGCAAUACCUCAGAAACACUGACAAAAGCACGUUGUUAUGGAGGAAACAAUCAUAUAAUUGCAAGUUGAAGUCACUGCAGUAAUUCAGUCAUGUUGCAGUAAUUGCAGUAAUUUCUGUCAUUUUGGGGAAAGAAAAUCAGGGAAAACAACACUAGUCUAAAUCUUCCAUAAUCUUAUGGCAUGUUUUACAGAUGCUUGAUCCCCAAACAUGUCAAUUAUGUUAUAUAAAUAAUGUACUGGUCAUCUCAUAUUGGACUGGCAGUGUAUUGAUUUUAUUGGCAUGGUAAAAAAAAAAAAAAAAAAUCUUUUUUUUUUAAUAUCUGUGUUCUUUCACUUUAAUUUUUGAUGAGUCAUUGUGAAUAUUACAGUAUAUUGGUUCUCUACUGUAAGGUUUUUUAUAGUAAAUUAUGCUUAGUUUUGCCUGAAACACCACCUGUUUUGCAGCACAGAUCUCGUCCACAUUUAAAGACUGUACAGAGAGCAAACAAUGCAAAGGUCAGAGUCAUUUUCAUCGCACACUCAUAAACUGUUCACAGUGAUAAUAUGAGAAAAUUAUUAGCUAAAGGUGACAAAGUUCGUCUGUUGUUGCGUGACAAAACAGGUGACCUUUCACCUGGAAAACAGAAGGAAAAGUAUAUGCACUGCUGUUCAAAAGUUUGGGUUACAUAAGAUUUUUAAUAUUUUAUAUAACAAGGCUUUUAAUAUUUUAUAACAAGGCUGUAUAUAUUUGAUCAAAAAUGCAGAAAAAAAUAAUGCAAUUGUGAAAUAUUAUUGCAGUUUGAAAUAAUGGUUUUCUGUUUUAAUAUACUUUAAAAUAUAAUUUAUUUCUAUGAUGUAAAGCUGAAUUUUGAGCAUCAGUCUUCAGUGUCACAUGAUCCUUCAGAAAUCAUUCUAAUGUGCUGAUUUGCUGUUCAAGAAACUACUCUGAUUAUUAUCGAUGUUGGAAACAUUGACAUUUUUGACAUUGUUACUGUAAUGUCUCCAGACUUGUUUUGGAUUCUCAUUAGAUUCUCAAUCAAGUGAAAGUUGAAGUAAAUGUAGUAAUAAAACUGUAAUCAUU
Cyprinus carpio carpio is the source of this 2180-nucleotide long non-coding RNA. Lineage: Eukaryota; Metazoa; Chordata; Actinopteri; Cypriniformes; Cyprinidae. The record is from Ensembl.